GAUGAAGAACGUAGCGAAAUGCGAUAAGUAAUGUGAAUUGCAGAAUUCAGUGAAUCAUCGAAUCUUUGAACGCACAUUGCGCCCGCCAGUAUUCUGGCGGGCAUGCCUGUUCGAGCGUCAUUUCAAUCAUCAAGCCCACGGCUUGUGUUGGGGACCUGCGGCUGCCGCAGGCCCUGAAAAGCAGUGGCGGGCUCGCUGUCACACCGAGCGUAGUAGCAUACAUCUCGCUCUGGGCGUGCUGCGGGUUCCGGCCGUUAAACCACCUUCAUAACCCAAGGUUGACCUCGGAUCAGGUAGGAAGACCCGCUGAACUUAAGCAUAUCAAUAAGCGGAGGA
This 336-nucleotide unclassified non-coding RNA is filed under the name soil metagenome. RNAcentral's name for it is "partial contains 5.8S ribosomal RNA, internal transcribed spacer 2, and large subunit ribosomal RNA". The stretch from base 1 to 120 matches the Rfam family "5.8S ribosomal RNA", at positions 35 to 154 of the family's 154-position model. The record is from RNAcentral.